This is a small nuclear RNA of Echinops telfairi (small Madagascar hedgehog), 141 nucleotides long. Its record names the gene U4. It matches the Rfam family "U4 spliceosomal RNA". Rfam says of the family: U4 small nuclear RNA (U4 snRNA) is a component of the major U2-dependent spliceosome. The structure of U4 snRNA from yeast and human has been reported. U4 snRNA presents a k-turn RNA motif in the 5p-SL related to recognition of Snu13 protein. The record is from Ensembl. Lineage: Eukaryota; Metazoa; Chordata; Mammalia; Afrosoricida; Tenrecidae.
AACUUUGCACAGUGGCGAUAUCAUAGCCAGUGAGGUUUAUCCAAGGUGCGAUUAUUGCUAAUUGAAAUCUUUUCCCAAUACCCUGCCUUGAUGACUUGAAAUAUAGUUGGCAUUGACAAUUUUUAACAGUCUCUAUGGAGA